This 485-nucleotide ribosomal RNA is filed under the name uncultured bacterium. RNAcentral describes it as "partial 16S ribosomal RNA". It matches the Rfam family "Bacterial small subunit ribosomal RNA", at positions 29 to 507 of the family's 1533-position model. The record is from RNAcentral.
AUGAACGCUGGCGGCGUGCCUAAUACAUGCAAGUCGAACGCUGGAAAUCUAGCUUGCUAGAUUGAAGGAGUGGCGAACGGGUGAGUAAUACAUAAGCAACCUACCCACGAAGACUGGGAUAAUCUCUGGAAACGGGGACUAAUACCGGAUAGGUAAUCGGAAGGCAUCUUCUGAUUAUUAAAGGUUAAAAACACUGGUGGAUGGGCUUAUGGCGCAUUAGUUAGUUGGUGAGGUAACGGCCCACCAAGACGAUGAUGCGUAGCCGGCCUGAGAGGGUGAACGGCCACAUUGGGACUGAGACACGGCCCAGACUCCUACGGGAGGCAGCAGUAGGGAAUUUUCGGCAAUGGGGGAAACCCUGACCGAGCAACGCCGCGUGAGUGAUGACGGCCUUCGGGUUGUAAAGCUCUGUUGUAAGGGAAGAACGGUAGAUAGAGAAUAUCUAAGUGACGGUACCUUACCAGAAAGCCACGGCUAACUACGUG